Long non-coding RNA from Neofelis nebulosa (Clouded leopard), 307 nucleotides. RefSeq lists it as uncharacterized. The transcript has 2 exons. NCBI's taxonomy places the organism in Eukaryota, Metazoa, Chordata, Mammalia, Carnivora, Felidae. The record is from RefSeq and is a predicted model, not a curated record.
GCUUUUGGGUGCGGGAGAUGUGCUUUGUGAAUACUCUCAGCAGCUACAAGGGACGCCUUCCAGGGAACCUCAGAACGCUGUACUCUGUACACAGCAGCUCUCAUAAUGUGCUUAUUGUAAUCCAGCUAAAGUGUCAGGCCAGAGUGUGAAGAAAUCUUGAAGUUCCUACCUGAGUGAGCUAGCGUGUAGCAGUCUGAGGACCCUCUGUAUUGGACCCCUCUCAUCCUGCUUUUCACCGAAGCGUUCCUGACAUUGUAAACGGAAGUCAAUACAGCCUUUUCUCAAUAAAGGAGUUCUAAAAAGUUAA